This 688-nucleotide ribosomal RNA is filed under the name uncultured bacterium. RNAcentral's name for it is "bacterial SSU rRNA". It matches the Rfam family "Bacterial small subunit ribosomal RNA", at positions 60 to 719 of the family's 1533-position model. The record is from RNAcentral.
AGUCGUACGCUUCUUUUUCCACCGGAGCUUGCUCCACCGGAAAAAGAAGAGUGGCGAACGGGUGAGUAACACGUGGGUAACCUGCCCAUCAGAAGGGGAUAACACUUGGAAACAGGUGCUAAUACCGUAUAACAAUCGAAACCGCAUGGUUUUGAUUUGAAAGGCGCUUUCGGGUGUCGCUGAUGGAUGGACCCGCGGUGCAUUAGCUAGUUGGUGAGGUAACGGCUCACCAAGGCCACGAUGCAUAGCCGACCUGAGAGGGUGAUCGGCCACAUUGGGACUGAGACACGGCCCAAACUCCUACGGGAGGCAGCAGUAGGGAAUCUUCGGCAAUGGACGAAAGUCUGACCGAGCAACGCCGCGUGAGUGAAGAAGGUUUUCGGAUCGUAAAACUCUGUUGUUAGAGAAGAACAAGGAUGAGAGUAACUGUUCAUCCCUUGACGGUAUCUAACCAGAAAGCCACGGCUAACUACGUGCCAGCAGCCGCGGUAAUACGUAGGUGGCAAGCGUUGUCCGGAUUUAUUGGGCGUAAAGCGAGCGCAGGCGGUUUCUUAAGUCUGAUGUGAAAGCCCCCGGCUCAACCGGGGAGGGUCAUUGGAAACUGGGAGACUUGAGUGCAGAAGAGGAGAGUGGAAUUCCAUGUGUAGCGGUGAAAUGCGUAGAUAUAUGGAGGAACACCAGUGGCGAA